Molecule: ribosomal RNA, 514 nt
Filed under: uncultured bacterium
Lineage: Bacteria
Description: bacterial SSU rRNA
Rfam family: Bacterial small subunit ribosomal RNA
Source: RNAcentral
AGCGAACGCUGGCGGCAGGCCUAACACAUGCAAGUCGAACGGACCCUUCGGGGUUAGUGGCGGACGGGUGAGUAACACGUGGGAACGUGCCUUUAGGUUCGGAAUAGCUCCUGGAAACGGGUGGUAAUGCCGAAUGUGCCCUUCGGGGAAAGAUUUAUCGCCUUUAGAGCGGCCCGCGUCUGAUUAGCUUGUUGGUGGGGUAAUGGCCCACCAAGGCUACGAUCAGUAGCUGGUCUGAGAGGAUGACCAGCCACAUUGGGACUGAGACACGGCCCAAACUCCUACGGGAGGCAGCUGUGGGGAAUCUUGCGCAAUGGGCGAAAGCCUGACGCAGCCAUGCCGCGUGUAUGAUGAAGGUCUUAGGAUUGUAAAAUACUUUCACCGGUGAAGAUAAUGACUGUAGCCGGAGAAGAAGCCCCGGCUAACUUCGUGCCAGCAGCCGCGGUAAUACGAAGGGGGCUAGCGUUGCUCGGAAUUACUGGGCGUAAAGGGAGCGUAGGCGGACAUUUAAGUC